GGAGAGGGCUAGCGUUAUUCGGAAUUAUUGGGCGUAAAGGGCGCGUAGGCGGAUUAGUAAGUUAAAAGUGAAAUCCCAAGGCUCAACCUUGGAAUUGCUUUUAAAACUGCUAAUCUAGAGAUUGAAAGAGGAUAGAGGAAUUCCUAGUGUAGAGGUGAAAUUCGUAAAUAUUAGGAGGAACACCAGUGGCGAAGGCGUCUAUCUGGUUCAAAUCUGACGCUGAGGCGCGAAGGCGUGGGGAGCAAACAGGAUUAGAUACCCUGGUAGUCCACGCUGUAAACGAUGAAUGUUAAAUAUGGGGAGUUUACUUUCUGUAUUACGGCUAACGCGUUAAACAUUCCGCCUGGGGACUACGGUCGCAAGAUUAAAACUCAAAGGAAUUGACGGGGACCCGCACAAGCGGUGGAGCAUGUGGUUUAAUUCGAUGCAACGCGAAAAACCUUACCACUCCUUGACAUGGAAAUUAUACCUAUUCGAAGGGAUAGGGUCGGUUCGGCCGGGUCUCACACAGGUGU
This 515-nucleotide ribosomal RNA is filed under the name bacterium symbiont of Megymenum gracilicorne. RNAcentral's name for it is "bacterial SSU rRNA". It matches the Rfam family "Bacterial small subunit ribosomal RNA", at positions 527 to 1041 of the family's 1533-position model. The record is from RNAcentral.